UUUAUGCAAGUACUCGCCGUUAGCAAA
This 27-nucleotide small RNA is filed under the name Bombyx mori (domestic silkworm). Its description in RNAcentral is "ovarian small RNA-38256". The record is from RNAcentral. Lineage: Eukaryota; Metazoa; Arthropoda; Insecta; Lepidoptera; Bombycidae.